AUUGACGUUACUCGCAGAAGAAGCACCGGCUAACUCCGUGCCAGCAGCCGCGGUAAUACGGAGGGUGCAAGCGUUAAUCGGAAUUACUGGGCGUAAAGCGCACGCAGGCGGUUUGUUAAGUCAGAUGUGAAAUCCCCGAGCUUAACUUGGGAACUGCAUUUGAAACUGGCAAGCUAGAGUCUUGUAGAGGGGGGUAGAAUUCCAGGUGUAGCGGUGAAAUGCGUAGAGAUCUGGAGGAAUACCGGUGGCGAAGGCGGCCCCCUGGACAAAGACUGACGCUCAGGUGCGAAAGCGUGGGGAGCAAACAGGAUUAGAUACCCCGGUAGUCA
RNAcentral lists this ribosomal RNA (329 nucleotides) under Serratia fonticola. RNAcentral's name for it is "bacterial SSU rRNA". It matches the Rfam family "Bacterial small subunit ribosomal RNA", at positions 468 to 796 of the family's 1533-position model. Lineage: Bacteria; Pseudomonadati; Pseudomonadota; Gammaproteobacteria; Enterobacterales; Yersiniaceae. The record is from RNAcentral.